UUUUAAAUAUUAAGGGCAGAGAGGCUGAAUUUUCAUGAUUAGAAUAGGGCUCCAAAAAUUUUAAGUCAGAUCUGAUUAGAAAACAAAUAAGCUAAAUUUUUGUUACCAAUAUGGCAGAUCAAAUUUCGUGUUCAAAAUGUGAGUUAUCCACAAAUUCCGGUCGAGCAACCAUAAGAAUCAAAGCCAUUUGCACCUAUGUUGGUUACUGGUUCGUUAGAUCAUGAUGGUUUAGGCCCUGUUUCUUGGUGGUGUGCAGAAGAGAUUGAGGUUGAUGAUGAGUAAAGGUGAGUUCAAAAGGUGGUGAAAUUUUGGUCAAGUGAAGAUGUCACUCCUAGGUUUUUUGUUUAGCCUAUAAGAUUAGGUUUAGAAGUUGGUUUGGUCUGAUAGAUGUAGGUUGCUCAUGUCGCUGAAGAUUAGGUCUUGUUCAAUUACUUUGCUUUGUAAACUGUUUAAUUUAGUUUAAUAGAAUCAGUGUUUGUCUUUGAAUU
Vigna umbellata (rice bean) is the source of this 488-nucleotide non-coding RNA. Lineage: Eukaryota; Viridiplantae; Streptophyta; Magnoliopsida; Fabales; Fabaceae. The record is from RefSeq and is a predicted model, not a curated record.